UACGGGGGGGGCAAGCGUUGUUCGGAAUUACUGGGCGUAAAGGGCUCGUAGGCGGCCAACUAAGUCAGACGUGAAAUCCCUCGGCUUAACCGGGGAACUGCGUCUGAUACUGGAUGGCUUGAGGUUGGGAGAGGGAUGCGGAAUUCCAGGUGUAGCGGUGAAAUGCGUAGAUAUGUGGAAGAACACCUGUGGCGAAAGCGGUUUUCUAGCCUACUCUGGACGCUGAGGCACGAAAGCAAGGGGAGCAAACAGG
Molecule: ribosomal RNA, 253 nt
Filed under: uncultured bacterium
Lineage: Bacteria
Description: partial 16S ribosomal RNA
Rfam family: Bacterial small subunit ribosomal RNA
Source: RNAcentral